Molecule: ribosomal RNA, 496 nt
Filed under: uncultured bacterium
Lineage: Bacteria
Description: bacterial SSU rRNA
Rfam family: Bacterial small subunit ribosomal RNA
Source: RNAcentral
AUGAACGCUAGCGACAGGCUAACACAUGCAAGUCGAGGGGUAACAGGGUAGCAAUACCGCUGACGACCGGCGCACGGGUGAGUAACGCGUAUGCAACCUGCCUAUAACUGGGGAAUAGCUCCCUGAAAGGGGAAUUAGCACCGCAUAAUACUAUUGAUUCGCAUGGAUUAGUAGUUAAAUGUAGCGAUACAGGUUAUAGAUGGGCAUGCGUGACAUUAGCUAGUUGGUGAGGUAACGGCUCACCAAGGCUACGAUGUCUAGGGGUUCUGAGAGGAAGGUCCCCCCACACUGGUACUGAGACACGGACCAGACUCCUACGGGAGGCAGCAGUGAGGAAUAUUGGUCAAUGGGCGCAAGCCUGAACCAGCCAUGUCGCGUGCAGGAAGACUGCCCUAUGGGUUGUAAACUGCUUUUAUAGUAGAAGAAACACAUCUACGUGUAGAUGUCUGCCAGUAUACUAUGAAUAAGCAUCGGCUAACUCCGUGCCAGCCGCUGC